Pseudoliparis swirei is the source of this 309-nucleotide long non-coding RNA. RefSeq lists it as uncharacterized. The transcript has 3 exons. Lineage: Eukaryota; Metazoa; Chordata; Actinopteri; Perciformes; Liparidae. The record is from RefSeq and is a predicted model, not a curated record.
CCUCAGGUCUCAGGUAUCAGGCCUCAGGUCUCAGGCCUCAGGUCUCAGGUAUCAGGCCUCAGGUCUCAGGUAUCAGGUAUCAGGUCUCAGGUCUCAGGUCUCAGGUCUCAGGUCUCAGGUCUCAGGUCUCAGGCCUCAGGUCUCAGGUAUCAGGUCUCAGGUCUCAGGUCUCAGGCCUCAGGUCUCAGGUCUCAGGUCUCAGGUCUCAGGCCUCAGGUCUCAGGUCUCAGGUCUCAGGUCUCAGGCCUCAGGUCUCAGGCCUCAGGCCUCAGGUCUCAGGUCUCAGGUCUCAGGUUUCAGGUCUCAGGU